ACCCUAGAUCAGUCUCUCCUUUUCUCUCCUUCUCACACUAAAAACCCUAGAUCUAUUUUGCUCUUCAUCUCUGUUUCUUUCACUCUCUUGUUGUUUCACUCUCAUCUCAGCCACCGUCAUCCUCUCUCCCUCCAAGAUUUUUAGAAGAAUUGGAGCAAAAAGUAACAUUGCUAGGAAAAGGAGCCAGUCUUGAAAGUGUACCAUGUCUCCCACGCCAAAAUCACUUGGAGGUGGAGUUUGAAGAAAUGAAGGAGUUGACGGAUAGAUGCAAGGUCAACGGUUUGGUCAAUUGCAAAAAUAGACCACACCGUAGACUUCGAGUUAUUGUCUCUGCGUAGAGGCUUGUUGAUGUCUACUCGUAUGACAUCUACAUGAAGUCGGCAAAAUUUGAAAACUAAUUUAUUGCAAAUUGGAACGGUGGUGGACAAAGUGGUGGAGGAGCUCGAGCAGCGGUUUUCAGUGCUUCACGGCAUCAAUCGGAGCUCAGAUACACAAUUGAUCAAACCAGAAAAUCAUAUCUUUGGCCUCUCACCAUUUCUCAACUUGUUCUUGUAUACUUCAAGAAGGCUGCAAUUAGAAAAUCCAAAGAGUCGAUUGGUAAUGUAUUAUUGGUAUUGUUGGAUUGGUAAUGUAUUGUUCGAUUGGUAAUGUAUUAUUGGUUUGAGAUUUGUUUGAGAACUGUGUUAAAUCAGGUUUCAUGGUCGUAUAACAAAACAAUAAAGUAAAACCUCUAUAAAUUAA
Arabidopsis lyrata subsp. lyrata is the source of this 741-nucleotide long non-coding RNA. RefSeq lists it as uncharacterized. The record is from RefSeq and is a predicted model, not a curated record. The transcript is spliced from 4 exons. Lineage: Eukaryota; Viridiplantae; Streptophyta; Magnoliopsida; Brassicales; Brassicaceae.